This is a small nucleolar RNA of Chelonoidis abingdonii (Abingdon island giant tortoise), 77 nucleotides long. NCBI's taxonomy places the organism in Eukaryota, Metazoa, Chordata, Testudines, Testudinidae. The record is from Ensembl.
CAGCCUGAAGUGAUGAGUUUUUCAUGUCUCUUCUCUGAGAUGUAUCCUGGAGAUAGCAUUUCACUCUGAUUGGGCUC